GACGAACGCUGGCGGCGUGCCUAAUACAUGCAAGUCGAGCGGACUGAUUAAGAGCUUGCUCUUAUGACGUUAGCGGCGGACGGGUGAGUAACACGUGGGCAACCUGCCCUGUAGAUCGGGAUAACACCGAGAAAUCGGUGCUAAUACCGGGUAAUAUCUGAGAUCACAUGAUCUUAGGUUAAAAGAUGGCUCCGGCUAUCACUACAGGAUGGGCCCGCGGCGCAUUAGCUAGUUGGUAAGGUAAUGGCUUACCAAGGCGACGAUGCGUAGCCGACCUGAGAGGGUGAUCGGCCACACUGGGACUGAGACACGGCCCAGACUCCUACGGGAGGCAGCAGUAGGGAAUCUUCCGCAAUGGACGAAAGUCUGACGGGGCAACGCCGCGUGAGUGAUGAAGGGUUUCGGCUCGUAAAGCUCUGUUGUUAGGGAAGAAACAGUACCGAACGAACUAGGUCGGUACCUUGACGGUACCUAACCAGAAAGCCACGGCUAACUACGUG
Molecule: ribosomal RNA, 500 nt
Filed under: uncultured bacterium
Lineage: Bacteria
Description: partial 16S ribosomal RNA
Rfam family: Bacterial small subunit ribosomal RNA
Source: RNAcentral